CAGAGCAAUCUGUGUGACUGCGUACCUUUUGUAUAAUGGGUCAGCGACUUAUAUUCUGUAGCAAGGUUAACCGAAUAGGGGAGCCGAAGGGAAACCGAGUCUUAACUGGGCGUUAAGUUGCAGGGUAUAGACCCGAAACCCGGUGAUCUAGCCAUGGGCAGGUUGAAGGUUGGGUAACACUAACUGGAGGACCGAACCGACUAAUGUUGAAAAAUUAGCGGAUGACUUGUGGCUGGGGGUGAAAGGCCAAUCAAACCGGGAGAUAGCUGGUUCUCCCCGAAAGCUAUUUAGGUAGCGCCUCGUGAAUUCAUCUCCGGGGGUAGAGCACUGUUUCGGCAAGGGGGUCAUCCCGACUUACCAACCCGAUGCAAACUGCGAAUACCGGAGAAUGUUAUCACGGGAGACACACGGCGGGUGCUAACGUCCGUCGUGAAGAGGGAAACAACCCAGACCGCCAGCUAAGGUCCCAAAGUCAUGGUUAAGUGGGAAACGAUGUGGGAAGGCCCAGACAGCCAGGAUGUUGGCUUAGAAGCAGCCAUCAUUUAAAGAAAGCGUAAUAGCUCACUGGUCGAGUCGGCCUGCGCGGAAGAUGUAACGGGGCUAAACCAUGCACCGAAGCUGCGGCAGCGACGCUUAUGCGUUGUUGGGUAGGGGAGCGUUCUGUAAGCCUGUGAAGGUGUACUGUGAGGUAUGCUGGAGGUAUCAGAAGUGCGAAUGCUGACAUAAGUAACGAUAAAGCGGGUGAAAAGCCCGCUCGCCGGAAGACCAAGGGUUCCUGUCCAACGUUAAUCGGGGCAGGGUGAGUCGACCCCUAAGGCGAGGCCGAAAGGCGUAGUCGAUGGGAAACAGGUUAAUAUUCCUGUACUUGGUGUUACUGCGAAGGGGGGACGGAGAAGGCUAUGUUGGCCGGGCGACGGUUGUCCCGGUUUAAGCGUGUAGGCUGGUUUUCCAGGCAAAUCCGGAAAAUCAAGGCUGAGGCGUGAUGACGAGGCACUACGGUGCUGAAGCAACAAAUGCCCUGCUUCCAGGAAAAGCCUCUAAGCAUCAGGUAACAUCAAAUCGUACCCCAAACCGACACAGGUGGUCAGGUAGAGAAUACCAAGGCGCUUGAGAGAACUCGGGUGAAGGAACUAGGCAAAAUGGUGCCGUAACUUCGGGAGAAGG
Molecule: ribosomal RNA, 1164 nt
Filed under: Escherichia coli
Lineage: Bacteria; Pseudomonadati; Pseudomonadota; Gammaproteobacteria; Enterobacterales; Enterobacteriaceae
Description: partial 23S ribosomal RNA
Rfam family: Bacterial large subunit ribosomal RNA
Source: RNAcentral